UAUCAAACUGAAAAAUUCACAGGAUAGUAUAGUAACGAUAAUAUUUAAUGAUAUUUGACAGAGAAAAAAUAAAUAGCAAAAUAUAAGAGACUGUCUAUUUCCUCUAAAUAUUAAUUGUUGUUUUCCCUAAUUGGGUUAAUCAAAGUUCCUUAAUAUUUCAAGCUUUUUUGGUUUGUGGUUUUUGUUUUGUUUUUUUUUUAAUUCUUCACUUAAGAAAUUUUUUUCUGGUUAUUUUAUAGCAGCUUGUUUUACAGUUUACUAAUUCACUCUCUAUAUAAAACACCAUUGGUGCUGUUUUAUUUUUAUUUUAAAUAUACAGCAACUUUAAAAAAAAAUAUAGGGCAUACCUUAAUGUUUGGUGUCUGUUUACAUUUUCUGUAAUGUAGUCAUUAAGCAUACAACGUAGACUUAAAGGAUGUCAAAACUGACAACCACACUAUGAUUGAUGAUGCUGUGCUAGACUAAUUCUUACCAGGUGUGGUGUGAUGUGAAUUCAAAUGCAGCUCAGGGUUCUUAUUUGUAUUAGUAAAGUUGUGCUUUGUCAAAGUUCUGUGACUUCUUAACCCACUAAAUCCAUCUUCUAAUCCAAGUUUUUCUUCGCCUUUUUGCUGUAUACAAUAUUUUUUUCCCUCUUUCUCAGCAAAGCAAUCCUUAUGACUUCGUCUUCAGCCAGGGUUUCUUAAGACAUCCAGUUUGUGCAAAUUCCAGAAAAUACCAAGUCUGAUGAGGUUAUGUUAAUUAAGUGUAAAAUCUACAUAAAGGCUUCCUAAGUGACUUGAGCUAGGGUAGGCGAAAUUAUGAAGGAUGAAAUUCACUCCAUCAGCAUAAAGCAUAAACAGGAAGCUUUAUGUGGAGAAGCAAUAAAAUACAAGAUCUUCAACCAGAAAAAGGGCUACAGCACAGACUUCUUUGGUCCCUACAGAAAUUGUCUUCAUUGUCAUCCCUUGUCACUUGCAGAACAUGAUGAGGCAGCUUCAAGUUAUUAUGUCUUGUUAAAUGUCAGAUGUAAAUAUUGGGUGCCUGCACCGCACCACUGAACAACAAAUAAACUUUUAUGAGGUAGCAGAGAGUGCUGGACCUAAAGUUUUAGGCUUUUUUUUUUUUUCCCUCUCUCUCCUUUCUCCCCCUUCGCUCUCCUACAUUUUUGAUUUAGACUUUACUGGCACAUUGUCAUCAGCUGGAUCACUCACUGUCAAGCCAAAUGUCCAGCACCUUUGGUAGCAGAGAACUGUGUUGACCUGGGGUGGGCAAUUGAAUUGUAUCUUUUUGUUUUCUGGCUGAGUGAUCUAUCCUGCUUGACUGUGUUUAUCUUGGUUAUAUUUUAUUAACAAAAGGUAUUGAUCUUGCAAGCAGAGCCUCAAGGAAGGAGAAAAAUUCUUCAGAGUCCAAUUUACCUCAACAGGCAAAUAAUCUAAAAAUUUAUAUAAUCUGAUUGAACAAAUCAUAACAAACCACAUCAAAUGCUUCAAAUGUUAUGCUGCAUGAAAUGAAAGCACCUAUUACCCCUCACCACUACCUCCCCCUUUCCCUCACCAAGCCCUAUUUCACUCAGGUCUAAUUUUAAGUGAUUGCUUUCUCAUGCAAAUAUCCAUUGAUUUGAAUGAGAUUUUGCAAGGGUAAGGGCUGAGCAAAGACUUUGGGAUGUGAUCUUCAGAGAAAAACCCAACCCCUUCUUUUUAUGGAUACAGAGAGUCACUGUACAGGAAAGUUAUUGUACUAUUACUGCACAAAAGUAGUGGAAGGAGGGCCAGCAUGCGAGAAGGUGACAUAUGCAAUCAGUCUGCAAGGGUCUGACAGGCUCUGCUUGCAGAAGCACCAGUGUAGGGGGAGGGGGAAGGCAGAGGCUUUGGGCAUCCCCUAGAUUACUCAGAUGUUUCUCUCCAGGAUUACUUUGAAAUACACUGAAGACCUCUUUAUUGAAAUACACUGGCAAAGCAUGGGGAAGAAUAAAAGGAAGAGGCAGGCAGUUCCAGAUCCUUUCAUCCCCACAGGAGUUACAGAGGUGGAAGAAAAACUGCAUGGAGCAGAAGAGACAUAAGUGGGUUUAAGCAGAGGGCUCUUAAGAGGAAUUAUCUCUGAACGUUAUGUGCUGGCCAACAAAGUACGACUGAUAACUUCCAAGGCCAUUGUGGACCUAAAAUGCUAGCAGUGGUCAAAGGAAAUAAAGACUUUUAUUAGGGGUCCCUAUGUAUCAUUUUCCUGCUGCGGGAUUACACUGCCAGCCCUGCAGAGGGAGAUUUAGCUGGGUAAUUCUCAUUAAGGGGCAAACCUCUCUGACUUCUCCAGGUGCUUUGCCUGAUUAACUGCUGAAGAACCAGGCCCUAUGGUUGGCCCAGCUGAGCUCUAGCCUGUCUGCCUUUAUGCAAGAAAAAGCUUCACAUAUCAGCUCCAGCUCAUGCUGAGGAGUCUUAGUAGGCAUUCUAAUCCUAAGGGGAAACAUUUCAUUGCAAUGCACAGCGAUUUGCAUUCUUUCUCAGAACUCUGCUGUUACAUUAUCCAUUUUUAUCUUGAUUAAAAGAGAUCAAGAAGUGCAUGCUCACACACUACACAUGCAGUUUUUCCAUACAGGAGGCCUGGAACCCACACUGAAAUUCUGACUCGAGGAGCUCUGGCAACUUCCAACUCUUGAUGGAUUUAUGCUGUUUUAAUAAUAGUCCCAAUUUAUUGAUAAUUAACAAGGAGGGAAGUUACCAGGAUUUUUGUUGUUGUUGGGUUUCUAAGAUAUUCAAGUGUUUUCAGAAGUAUCCAAUGCUGAAGACUUAAACACUGCGAGAGCUCUGAGUCUGUGAGGAUGAUUUUAAUGGUACUACAGAAGGUUAACCUAUGGUACUAGUUACUGCCACAAACAAACAGGGAACUGAAGAUAUACGGGCACAAGGGAAAUUCCAGAAGGCAGGCAUGAAAUUGUCCAAGUGUCCAUGCCUCUAGUUUAUAGUCUGUAUUACAUAAUUCAUCUCCAACAUCUUCCCUCUGGGACUGCCCUGGAAAAAUAACUACAAAAAGCAGGGCAGGGCAGGUAUAUAAGUAGCAAAAUGCUCCUUCUGUUCUAUGCAAAACCAUGGACAGUGUUUGAAUCCCUCCAUCCUUACCUUUACCCUUUCUAAAAAGAUUAGGGCACAUGGAGCAAGAACUAAUCCCUGCAACACCACUGUCAUUUUUUGGGAAUUGGUGUUUCCCAAUGUUUAGUGUUCCACAAAUAAAAUGUGAAAAAUUACUCUUUGGCUCAAAGGAAACAGGAAGACAAGUACAUUGUAGAGUAAAUGGUAGUGAGGUACUGCAAGGGCCUAAAUGAGGUGCCUAGAACAGGGUGAUGGCAUAGUAUAAAAUUGAUCUGAAUAUGAAAAUUAGAAAACAUUUAUGCAAGAAGUUGAAUGUCUCAACUAAUAGCAAGGUAAACCAAUGACCUGGCAUUGGCAACGUUGCCUGUUUUCUAUAAUAGAUUACUCAAAAAAAUUGAUUUUGGCUAAAAGUCACAUAUUUCCUCAGAGAUAAGUCUGUCUUCCUCUCCAAACAUUGCCUUUCUAGCUUUGGCCUGAAUGUUUUGGGUGGAGAUUUUUAUACAUAGGCACAUGGAGCAAAAGAUCCAGGCCAGAAAAAAAGGUAGAGAGGUGAAAAUCUCCAAUUAAUUUUACAUCUCUUGUUCUACAUUUUUCAAUGAGUGAGAAGUAACAGUUUUGAGGCGCUUACUCUAAUGAGGUACUCAAAUCAACAAUACAUAUCCACACAGGAAUUAGUAAAUGAAUAUAUCUGGAGAGAAUCUGGUUUCACAAAAGCAGCUUGACCUGCCCAAAUGAACUACUAAAGAAGGAGUCUUUGUGCUUUUGUAAGAUGGAUUUUCUGCUUGCUAUUGCCACUUCAAAAACCUAACAAACCUUUUUGGUCCAAAACUAGCUGUGUGUGUGUCCAAAUACACAGAUAGUAGUUAUCUGUGUGUGGCAUUUUUUUUUCAUAAUACCCAAGUAGGAAUAAAAUAAAUUUUCCUAAGUGGAGGAAUAGGAAUCUAUCUCUGCCUGAUUGGAUAUUUCAGUAAAAUGGUUCCAAAGAUCAUUGCUACAGUCAGUCUUUUAAUUUAUGACUAGAAAAUAAGUAAUAGUGGAAGGUAUAUAAGCACAACUAGAAAAAGGUAAAAGGAUUUAGACCAGAACAGGAACAAAAUUUUUCAAGGAACUGAGACAUCAAAAGAAGCCUCAGGCAUUCUAGCUCUUCUCAGCCAAGGAAAAUUUGCUGUUUGUUGAAUCUUGCUUCUCUUAUGUGUGUAUAAAGAAAAAUGUGCCACUAGUUCAGCCAUUGAAAUAUAUAUUCACUGGACUUAGAGUUAUCAGUUGCAGAGUCCUCACUCUAUGGCCUCCUGGAGCACAUGGAAUUUUCUUUGUAACACUAUGCUUUUGAAAAUUACAGGAGUAGAAGAUUAAUACAAUUAUAAAGCCCAGGUAAUUUCUUCCCAUGCCCACCAUACUGUAGAGCAUUAUGUGCUGCACAACUGAUGGUCACAGUGGAAACUAUUGAUUCCAGCUUUACUUUGUUUUUUACCUGUAGGUCAACUGGCUUGAAUCAUGGCAAAUUUGCUACCUUAAAGUUAUUUACAAUGUUUAAUAUAAACCACAUCAACCCAUAGCAUAAACAAGAAAUGAAGCUAUAAACAAUUUGUGAUAUUUCAGUGAACAAAAAUAUUAAGAAAUAAAUAUUUUCUUGGAAUGUAUGUAGAAUGCAUGCUCUAUGUUUUCAAUCCUAAUUUCAGCUUCUGAUGAGAUGAAUGAAAUAUUCACAUCCCAGCUGCUUCUGAAUGUUCUAAGUGGAAUUUCUUGGAGCAGUGUGAGCAGGUGGUGUUCCCACACAGCUCCAAAUAAAGUUUAUACGUGCUAGGGAGGCUGGAUGCCUUGCAAACAUGGAUUCCAAAAACUAGUUUUUUUCUAAUGCACAUGCUUGGUCAUUUUGUCAUAUGGCUGAGAGAUCUUCCCAUGGACAAGGGCACUGGUAUGGAAAUGUUGUCUGGAGCCUUUCCUUCUUCCAAGCCUUAGGCCAUAGUUUUCUGUACCUGAGCCAUGCUCUUCUCUAAGCUGCAUGCAUUUUAGUAAGUAGAUUGUUUCAAGACUUUUCACAAUUUUUUGUAUUGUACUCUUUUGUACUUUUUUGUACUCUUUUUGUACUUUUUUGUACUCUUGCGCCAAGAGUGUUAUACAGAGUAGGACAUGAAGUUAGGGAGGAUAUCUGAGACUACCAGGUUUGUUGGGACACUCCAGAAAAGUAGGUCUUGUAGGGUUGGGGUGCGGGGGUUGGAGGCUGUGAUGCAGUGGGGUAAACCAGUUUAAUCACAGCUCAAAUCUGGUUUCUGUAUAAAGACAAAAUGAUGAUGUGCUAUAGCCCAUACCCCAGUCCCACAUAUCCCCAACAGGAAAUAAUUUUGUCUGCUCUGAAUUGGAGCCCAACUCAAAAUUAAUUGUCAUGCAGCACACAAGGUAGGGAUUUGACACCUAGGAGACACAUUGAAUGUAAGUACUCACAAAAACGUCACCUUUAGCAAGUUAGCCCAAUCUUUGACUUUCCUAUGCUACUCCUUGAGAACACAAUCUCCUGUAAAGAGAGAUUCACAGCUACUCAAACACCUGAUCUGAACUGCACCUUAGAGGACUCUUCUGGCUACAGAGGGAACCUAGGAAACUCAGCUUCACAAGAUUGGAGUCAGCUUUUGUGACUUUUCAUUUCUCUGUGAUCCAUUUUGACUUUGAUUUUUAUUUUUUUUAAAAUAGCUCAGCAACAGAGCCUGUAUUUCCCAUGUUGUGUUGCAGGCACUUUUCGUUUUCUCUAGUCUGUUAUUUCAAGACUGUUUAAGACUCUGCCAGCUGGCUACCAUCCUAUGCUCGUGGAAUCAUGCAAGGGAGUACAAAAGGGCAUAAGAAAGUUAUGUUUUGUCCUUUUUGUCUUACCAAAAUCAUAGUAUUCUUCUAAGUAGAGGACAAAAAAUGAAGCAAUAGGACAAAAACUUCACUUUGGGCUAGAUAGAAAGCCUCAGUCUGGAGAAAUUUUGCUGUGGUGAGUUGUACUGCUGUCGAUUUCUUCUGUUUUAUGAAAGUGAUGUGAAAAACUUUUUAACUGAUCCAAACAUGUGUCUUUUAAUCCCCAGUGUGAAAACUCCAUCUAACAUAACUUUUAACCUUGCAAGUUGUUUCACCAGCCAUGUGGAUGCAGUGCCAUUUUCAGUGUCAGCACUUGAUGCUUUGACAACAAUGGUGUUGGACUUCCAGAGCCCAAAUCAGGAGUUUCUUCUUGAGAAGUCUCACUUUAUCCUUUCAUUAUAACUUUUGCUAUGCUACUGUUUGGCAGUGGGGGUUAGGAGAUUCAUCACCUAAAGGAAUAGAGCCAAAUAUUUGCUUUGAAUGAUUACAGCUAAGAUGUCCUUCCACAGCUGUGUGCCUAGAUUAUUGUGUACUCCUUGCUUAUGAACACUGAACAUAUUUCAUAAACAGAAAAUAUACUGUCCUGGUAUUCUAAAAAAAUAAUGUACAUUCACAAAUUAGCUUUUAUGCUGUAUUUCUCUGAUAUAAAUAAUAAAACACUCUUUUCCA
This is a non-coding RNA of Taeniopygia guttata (zebra finch), 6563 nucleotides long. The record is from RefSeq and is a predicted model, not a curated record. NCBI's taxonomy places the organism in Eukaryota, Metazoa, Chordata, Aves, Passeriformes, Estrildidae.